AAGUCGUAACAAGGUUUCCGUAGGUGAACCUGCGGAAGGAUCAUUUCUGAAGGCUUUUUGCCAAACCACUGUGAACUGUCAGCUCCGGCUGACAACUGCUUGGGUGACUGCUUCGGCGGCGCCCAACAUUUAAAACUUCUACUUUUAAUUCUGAAACCAAGAAAUUUAAAAACUUUCAACAACGGAUCUCUUGGUUCUC
Molecule: unclassified non-coding RNA, 199 nt
Filed under: Starmerella lactis-condensi
Lineage: Eukaryota; Fungi; Ascomycota; Dipodascomycetes; Dipodascales; Trichomonascaceae
Description: partial internal transcribed spacer region
Rfam family: Eukaryotic small subunit ribosomal RNA (bases 1-46)
Source: RNAcentral